This 402-nucleotide long non-coding RNA is filed under the name Struthio camelus australis. RNAcentral's name for it is "lncRNA (ENSSCUG00000016856.1)". The record is from RNAcentral. Lineage: Eukaryota; Metazoa; Chordata; Aves; Struthioniformes; Struthionidae.
AUGGGUAUCAUGACACCACAAGAGAAACAUCCUCACUGGGAGUCAAAGCACAGGUUAUGGACAAGAAGGCCAGGUCUGAAUGAAACAGAUGUCAUCCUUCCAGACAAAACAAGAACCCGCACACUGUCCUUUGCACCUCUGAGGUGGAUGCUUCUAAUAUGGAAGGAACAUCAUGCAGUCCACAAGAACAACAGCUCUGUCCAUUGGCAAAAUGGGCAUCACGGAAUUCAGCAGAGAAGCCAUUCUAUAUGGACUGAGAGUUAGUGUACAAAGUUUCCUGAUGGAAUUUAACAUUCAGUUCCUAUAAAGAAGAAAAUGGGCAACAUGGAGCAUCUCUAAUUCAUCUCCUGAAGAGCUUGGAAGAAACUCAUUUACUUUUCAGUACCUCUAACUGAAAAGUAU